Molecule: ribosomal RNA, 375 nt
Filed under: Philautus hosii (Borneo bubble-nest frog)
Lineage: Eukaryota; Metazoa; Chordata; Amphibia; Anura; Rhacophoridae
Description: partial 12S ribosomal RNA
Rfam family: Bacterial small subunit ribosomal RNA
Source: RNAcentral
GCCAAGCCGUAAAAUUAACUCACAACAAUAAACGCCAGGGUAUUACGAGCUUUAGCUUAAAACCCAAAGGACUUGACGGUGUCCCACCCCACUAGAGGAGCCUGUUAUUUAAUCGAUGAUCCACGUUAUACCUAACCAUUUUUUGCUUUUCAGCCUGUAUACCUCCGUCGCAAGCUUACCCUAUGAAUGUCACACAGUAGGCCCAAUAGUCUAAACACUACAACGUCAGGUCAAGGUGCAGCUUAUAAAAUGGUAAUUAAUGAGCUACAAUUUCUGACACAGAACAAACGAAUUACUACCUGAAAUAUAGUAUGAAGGAGGAUUUAGUAGUAAAUAGAGAAUAAAGAGCUCUAUUAAACCUGCCCUGGGACGUGU